This 290-nucleotide unclassified non-coding RNA is filed under the name uncultured Hyaloscyphaceae. RNAcentral's name for it is "sequence contains ITS1". The stretch from base 1 to 105 matches the Rfam family "5.8S ribosomal RNA", at positions 50 to 154 of the family's 154-position model. The record is from RNAcentral. Lineage: Eukaryota; Fungi; Ascomycota; Leotiomycetes; Helotiales.
GAAAUGCGAUAAGUAAUGUGAAUUGCAGAAUUCAGUGAAUCAUCGAAUCUUUGAACGCACAUUGCGCCCCUUGGUAUUCCGGGGGGCAUGCCUGUUCGAGCGUCAUUAUAACCAAUCCAGCCUGGCUGGGUCUUGGGCCUCGCGGUCAGCGGGCCUUAAAACUAGUGGCGGUGCUCUCAUGCUCUACGCGUAGUAAAUUUCUCGCUAUAGGGUCCUGGGAGAUGCUAGCCAACAACCCCUAAUUUUUUCAGGUUGACCUCGGAUCAGGUAGGGAUACCCGCUGAACUUAA